GUGGGACUUUAUUUUAGUCUUAUUUCCUUUCAUAGUCUUCCUAGAGCCACAUCUGCACACUUUAUCACCCUUAAUCAGCAUAUCAUAUUUGUGUGACGGCUCAUCUGAUUGUGGAGCAUUUGUGUUGUUCAGCAGUAAGCAAACAUAAAAGACAAUUGACGUAACCAUGACUGUGGGUGCUGUUGUUCUUCUGGCUGCCUUUGUGAUGAAUUCACAUCAAACACAAGGUUCUAUUUGGUCUGUGCAGUUUGGAGACAACCUACUUCUAAACAUGACAGAAUCUUUUCAUCUCAACAAAGGAGAUCAGUUUUAUUGGAAAUUAAAUGAAAAAAUAUUACUUAAAACUGAAGAUCAAAACUGUAAAGAGAACAUUACAGUUUUUUUACAAAAGGCCAAACUUCAGGAAAAUUGCUCUCUGAUAGUUAAAAAUGUGCAAUUCAGUGACAGUGGAAUAUAUACGGCAGAAGUGAGAGGGAGCAACCGCAUAUACGUCAAAUACAACGUCACAAUCCAAGGUUUUUCCAGUAAGGCCACCGCAACUGUUACUUCGGCAGUUUUUCUGCCUCUGGCUGUGACCUGUGUAGCUUUCCUCGCAAAAUGAAAUGGAACUAGACCAAGCACUAGGUCAGAAUCCUGCAGAAGAUGCCUCUGGUCCUCAUCUCACAUCCCCCACAUUCACUUACACCUUAGCAUAUUUCCCACUGGACAUGUGACAUCUGUUCAGACCAAAUGCACCCCAUCACAUACAAUUACACACCUACCAAAGAUGAUGCAUGUGCAGGUUGAGAAAUCUAUCACAACCAAAACAUGAAAAACACAAAUGAUAUGUAUUUACAGGACUAAAUUUGUACUUAAUAAAUGGAAAGAUGGCAUUUUAGCCCACCCAUAUAGUUUGCAUGGUGCUGGCACGCAGUGCUUUUUGGCUGACUUUUUAACCAAACUUAACCAAGACUAGUUAUAAAGUUAAUUUGUAGUUGACUAAUUUCAUAAUCAGUGUCUGAUAUAAUAGCUCAAACAUAUAAAGCUUGUGUAGCCUAACAUCUAAUGUAGAUGGUGGAUUUCUAUGUCGUUAGCCUAAUAGCAUAAAUAUUAAAGUCAUAUUUCAAGGUUUUAUAAGCAAUGAUGCACAGUGACUCAGCAGUAUUAGGAGAGCAGAUGUCAUAAUUUAGACAAAAUGGGACUCAGGCAGUUAUGCUAUGAGGUUAAUGAUAUCACAACCAAGAAAAUUUAUUUUAAUUUUUGUUGUUGUGUAAUGUUCAGAAGCUACCUAGUAAAGGCUAUGUGUGACAAAACAACAACAACAAACAAAACAAACAAAACAAAAAACAAACAAAAAAAAACAAACAAAAAAAAAC
Melanotaenia boesemani (Boeseman's rainbowfish) is the source of this 1355-nucleotide long non-coding RNA. RefSeq lists it as uncharacterized. The record is from RefSeq and is a predicted model, not a curated record. NCBI's taxonomy places the organism in Eukaryota, Metazoa, Chordata, Actinopteri, Atheriniformes, Melanotaeniidae. The transcript is spliced from 6 exons.